AGAGUUUGAUCAUGGCUCAGGACGAACGCUGGCGGCGUGCCUAAUACAUGCAAGUCGAGCGAAUCUUUGGGAGCUUGCUCCUGAAGAUUAGCGGCGGACGGGUGAGUAACACGUGGGCAACCUGCCUGUAAGACUGGGAUAACUUCGGGAAACCGGAGCUAAUACCGGAUAAUUCAUUUUUCUCACAUGAGGAAAAAGCU
This 200-nucleotide ribosomal RNA is filed under the name uncultured bacterium. Its description in RNAcentral is "partial 16S ribosomal RNA". It matches the Rfam family "Bacterial small subunit ribosomal RNA", at positions 8 to 203 of the family's 1533-position model. The record is from RNAcentral.